RNAcentral lists this ribosomal RNA (280 nucleotides) under uncultured soil bacterium. RNAcentral's name for it is "partial 16S ribosomal RNA". It matches the Rfam family "Bacterial small subunit ribosomal RNA", at positions 26 to 284 of the family's 1533-position model. The record is from RNAcentral.
AGAAUCAACGCUGGCGGCGUGCCUAACACAUGCAAGUCGAACGCGGUUACCACUGCUUCGCAAGAAGGAGUGGUGACUGAGUGGCGAACGGGUGAGUAACACGUGGGUGACCUGCCUUCGAGUGGGGGAUAACGUUCCGAAAGGGACGCUAAUACCGCAUGACAUCCUGCCUUUGAAGAGGUGGAUAUUAAAGCUGGGGAUCGUAAGACCUGGCGCUUGAAGAGGGGCCCGCGUCCGAUUAGCUAGUUGGUGGGUAACGCCUACCAAGGCGACGAUCGGU